UACGAAGGGAGCUAGCGUUGUUCGGAAUCACUGGGCGUAAAGCGCACGUAGGCGGACUUGUCAGUCAGGGGUGAAAUCCUGAGGCUCAACCUCAGAACUGCCUCCGAUACAGCAAGUCUCGAGUCCGGGAGAGGUGAGUGGAAUUCCUAGUGUAGAGGUGAAAUUCGUAGAUAUUAGGAAGAACACCAGUGGCGAAGGCGGCUCACUGGCCCGGUACUGACGCUGAGGUGCGAAAGCGUGGGGAGCAAACAGG
This 253-nucleotide ribosomal RNA is filed under the name uncultured bacterium. RNAcentral's name for it is "partial 16S ribosomal RNA". It matches the Rfam family "Bacterial small subunit ribosomal RNA", at positions 524 to 776 of the family's 1533-position model. The record is from RNAcentral.